Solanum verrucosum is the source of this 130-nucleotide small nucleolar RNA. RefSeq annotates it as small nucleolar RNA snoR2/U65. Lineage: Eukaryota; Viridiplantae; Streptophyta; Magnoliopsida; Solanales; Solanaceae. The transcript has a single exon. The record is from RefSeq and is a predicted model, not a curated record.
AGUCCGAUGCCACGUCGACGGUAGCAAAAUGCUAUGAUUGGACAAAUAACAAGUUUUAAUUAACGCUUCGCAUUCUGAUAGGAAUCUGUGUAUGGAUCUUUUCAAUUAGCCGUUUCGUGCGAUUACAUUU